CUCCGGCUUCUGGGAUGCCUCGGCGGCCUCCGUGAGUGCGUCUGGCUCGCACCCUCAGCCGCAGGCCUCUUACCUUUCCCCUUCUCCAAGCCUUCGCGACGCUCCUGAAGGUCUGCCGCUCCAGCCUCCACGAUGAGUGCACGGUUCACAACCUCCCGGUAGGUUUGGAUGUUGGAGGACUGCACCAACCGAAAGAUCGAAGGCCGCAAUCCACGCUCAAAAAUGCG
This 227-nucleotide long non-coding RNA is filed under the name Ananas comosus (pineapple). RNAcentral describes it as "long non-coding RNA (ACOM_LNC035183)". The record is from RNAcentral. Lineage: Eukaryota; Viridiplantae; Streptophyta; Magnoliopsida; Poales; Bromeliaceae.